AAAAACCCUAAAAACAGGAAUAAAAGCAAUCUUUUCAUCUGCAUAACGAUUGUCUUGUUUGUUUUUCAAAAAAAAGCUUUUCAUAUCAAAAUCAUUAUGCAGGUUGAUUCGCAAACCCAUUGAACAUAAUGAUCGGACGUCAUCUCCCAAUUUUGAAUUCCCUGUAUUCGAAGCGGAAGAAGAUGAUGUUGAAGGGAUUCCUGACGAGAUUUCCCGACUUCUUGAGCAAGAAAAAAGAAGAUCACACUCAGCUGCAUCUCGAGAAUCAGCAGAACAGCCAACCGGGGCAUUAAAAAAAAAAGAAAAAAAGAAAAGAAAAAAAAGAAAAAAGAAAGAGGAGGGUGCAAAAU
Molecule: long non-coding RNA, 350 nt
Filed under: Lathyrus oleraceus (garden pea)
Lineage: Eukaryota; Viridiplantae; Streptophyta; Magnoliopsida; Fabales; Fabaceae
Description: Pisum sativum (pea) long non-coding RNA (PSAT_LNC036367)
Source: RNAcentral